This 500-nucleotide ribosomal RNA is filed under the name uncultured bacterium. RNAcentral describes it as "partial 16S ribosomal RNA". It matches the Rfam family "Bacterial small subunit ribosomal RNA", at positions 28 to 507 of the family's 1533-position model. The record is from RNAcentral.
GACGAACGCUGGCGGCGUGCUUAACACAUGCAAGUCGAACGGGCCUGUCUUCUUUUUUGGGGGGUGGGUUGAGUGGCGAACGGGUGAGUAUCACGUGAGUAACCUGCCCUUCGGUCCUGGAUAACCGCUUGAAAGGGCGGCUAAUACGGGGUGGUCCGGUUGGUCCGCAUGGGCUGGUCGGGAUAGAUUCACUGUUUUUGGUGUUUCGGCGGGGGAUGGGCUCGCGGCCUAUCAGCUUGUUGGUGGGGUGAUGGCCUACCAAGGCGGUGACAGGUAGCCGGCCUGAGAGGGUGGGCGGCCACACUGGGACUGAGGUACGGCCCAGACUCCUGCGGGAGGCAGCAGUGGGGGGUAUUGCACAAUGGGCGGAAGCCUGAUGCAGCGACGUCGCGUGAGGGAUGGAGGCCUUCGGGUUGUGAACCUCUGUUUCCGGUGGUGAAGGCCCUGUCCGUGUGGUGGGGUUGACGGUAGCCGGGGAUGAAGCGCCGGCUAACUACGUG